GGACACGUGAAAUCCUGUCUGAACAUGGGGGGACCAUCCUCCAAGCCUAAGUACUCCUACAUGACCGAUAGUGAACCAGUACCGUGAGGGAAAGGUGAAAAGAACCCUGAACAAGGGAGUGAAAUAGAACCUGAAACCGUACGCUUACAAGCGGAGGGAGCCUACGGGUGACCUCGUGCCUUUUGCAUAAUGAUCCUACGAGUUACUCCUCACUAGCGAGGUUAAGCAUUUAAGAUGCGUAGCCGAAGCGAAAGCGAGUCUGAAUAGGGCGAACUAGUUAGUGGGGGUAGACGCGAAACUUGGUGAUCUACCCAUGAGCAGGUUGAAGUUGCAGUAACAUGUAAUGGAGGACCGAACCAGUAAACGUUGAAAAGUUUUUGGAUGACUUGUGGGUAGGGGUGAAAGGCCAAUCAAACUGAGAGAUAGCUCGUACUCUCCGAAAUGUUUUUAGGAACAGCCUCGUGUUAAAGUGUCAUAGAGGUAGAGCUACUGAUUGGGUAAGGGGGUGUCAAAGCCUACCGAACUCAGACAAACUCCGAAUGCUAUUGACAUGUUCCACGGGAGUGAGGCUUUGGGUGCUAAGGUCCUAAGCCGAGAGGGAAAGAACCCAGACCAUCAGCUAAGGUCCC
This 629-nucleotide ribosomal RNA is filed under the name Goniomonas pacifica. RNAcentral describes it as "partial Bacterial large subunit ribosomal RNA". It matches the Rfam family "Bacterial large subunit ribosomal RNA", at positions 420 to 1048 of the family's 2925-position model. The record is from RNAcentral. Lineage: Eukaryota; Cryptophyceae; Goniomonadida; Goniomonadaceae.